AUGGUGUUUCUUCCUCCUGUUAUCCUGUUUUAACUGUGGAAAAUAUUUCUGCAGUCAAAUUUUUUUUUAAAGUUUAACCUCCAAUUUCUUGAAAUCUUGUAUCAAGUGGAUACUUGAUCUUGGAGACUCAGAUGCGUCAGUCUGUUCACUCCUUCGACCGAGCAUAGGACAGAUCCGUCAGUCUCGUGGAUGGUAUGUUCCAUAACCCCUUCGUUCGAUCAUGGGAAGAGCUGCAUUCGUUUUGUGUCAUAAAUUGCUUCGGAUGUAGCUUUUUUCAAUUUACACAUCUGUGUUCCCAUGGUCGGGCGAAGGGGUUAUGGAACAGACCAUCCACGGAUCUGAGUCCCCAUUCUUUGAACCGGUUAUUUCUAGAAAUUGGAGAAAAAAUUGAACAAUGUUUUUAUGUUUUUCGAUCUGGACCAAUAUGGCUACCUCGAAGCCUUUGAGUCUCAAGUAUAUGGGCAUGAUCUAUUGCUUCCAGGAGGCUAAAUAUAUUUUUGGGAGCGCAGACAAGAAUGGCGAUCGCCUUCUCAGUUUUGACGAAUUCAAGACAAUGAGGAUCAAUGCAGUUGAAUUUCUUGUUCUAUGUUAUUAUCCAUUUCAUCAUGAUGCUCAUCGCUAGGCUUAUAUUUGUAGUUGCAUGUCUAUUUGUAUUUUCUCUAAUAUGCGAGGUAUCAGAAACAACAUAUCCUUCACAGUAUGGUGCUGUGAAAUUUAGUGAGGAGACCAAUCUCAAAUAAAACUAUCUGGCUUGACAGGUAGUCAGGAAGCGGGUUCAAGUCUUUAAAGGCAUUCAAGUCAAGUUAGUUCAGUGCAGCCAUCAAACUGCAGCCAGGCUACACUGCAAGAGUUAACACUGCAUUCUAUGUAAUCUUCUCCGUGUUGUAAGGAAGCAAAGGUGUGCGGAAACGCUUCCUACGCUAAUCUUGAGAGGACAGUUAUGCAACUUUCAACUUAAAUAUUACUAAGAUAUCAAGAAAUGCACAAUAAAGCAUAAACAAAAUAGCAAUGAACACAUAACACAGUGAUUACCAUGGGGAAACCCUUCUGAGAGAAAAACCCCACCCUCCAAAACUCGCACAAUGUAUUAUCAAAUCAAGCUGAUUACAAUACACUUGCAAUGCAAGUUCUUACAGGAGCGCAUCACCACAACUUGAACUCAGAGAGACUCCUUCUAGCAUCCAGUCUUGCAAAAAACUCAAUGAUCAAACUCCUCCCCAAGCCCUCCUUUUAUAGUGAUUUUACAACCUGGAAACCACUUGUGGUUUUACAAAACCAUGGGCUUAACCACCAUGCCACAUGGUGCCCAUUUUUGACAUUUACAUUUCCAAAAUGGAAAAACAACCAGGU
Long non-coding RNA from Cryptomeria japonica (Japanese cedar), 1350 nucleotides. RefSeq lists it as uncharacterized. The record is from RefSeq and is a predicted model, not a curated record. The transcript is spliced from 3 exons. Lineage: Eukaryota; Viridiplantae; Streptophyta; Pinopsida; Cupressales; Cupressaceae.